Perognathus longimembris pacificus (Pacific pocket mouse) is the source of this 655-nucleotide long non-coding RNA. RefSeq lists it as uncharacterized. The transcript has 3 exons. Lineage: Eukaryota; Metazoa; Chordata; Mammalia; Rodentia; Heteromyidae. The record is from RefSeq and is a predicted model, not a curated record.
GUUUGCUAUUGUUAUUCCUCCAGCACUAUUCUGCCUGCUAAGAACUGCUCUUGCUAUGUAGGGUCUUCUGCUAUUCCAUAUGAAUUUUGGCACUGCUUUCUCUAUCUCACUGAAGAUAGGUUACUGAUGUUAGGAUUUUGAUGUUUAUUGCACUGAAUUUGUAGAUUGCUUUGGGCAAUAUUGCCAUUUACGUGGUUAAUUUUUUCCAAUCCAGCAACAUGGAAAGUCUUUCCAUUUUCUUAAGUUUUCUUCAAUUUCCUUCUUUACAUUUUUCAAGUUUUCACUAUAGAGAUACUUCAUAUCUUUGAGUAAUUCCUAAGCCAUUUUGUUUUUGAGAUUAUUGCAAAUGGAAUUGUUUUCCUAAUCUGAGUCUCAAUCUUCCCAUGGUUGGCAUACAGAAAAGCAUCUGAUUCUUUUGUGGGUUGGAUUUAUACCAUGCUACUUUACCAAAGUUUUGAAUCAGCUCUAGUAGCUUGGGGGAAGAGUCUAUGGGGUCCUUUACGUACAAGAUCAUGUCUUCUAAAAAAAAGAAAAGGGAAUAGUUUAACUUCUUCAUGACACUCCAAAUUACUUAAUUGAUAAAUUUUCUUUCUUUCUUUCUCUUUUUCUGUCUCUCUCUUUCUUCCUUUUUUUUUAUGGUCCAUACCCAGGGCUU